CACCUACUCCCUCCGUCCGAAAAUACUUGUCCUAAAAAUGUAUAUAAUGAAUGUAUAUAUAAUUAAAAUAAGUCUAGAUACAUUCAUCUCAACGACAAGUAUUUCCGGACGGAGGUAGUACUUG
Molecule: non-coding RNA, 124 nt
Organism: Hordeum vulgare subsp. vulgare (domesticated barley)
Lineage: Eukaryota; Viridiplantae; Streptophyta; Magnoliopsida; Poales; Poaceae
Source: Rfam